AGCAGCCGCGGUAAUUCCAGCUCCAAUAGCGUAUAUUAAAGUUGUUGCAGUUAAAAAGCUCGUAGUUGAAUUUCGGGAUCAAUGGGUUGGUCAUGCCCUCGGUAUGUACUGAUUUCAUUGGUCCUCACCUUCUAAGGAACCAUGAUGUCAUUCGUUUGAUGUUGUGGGGAAUUAGGACUGUUACCUUGAAAAAAUUAGAGUGUUUAAAGCAGGCUAACGCUUGAAUACAUUAGCAUGGAAUAAUGAAAUAGGACAUCCGAUUCUAUUUUGUUGGUUUCUAGGAUCGAUGUAAUGAUUAAUAGGGAUAGGUUGGGGGCAUUAGUAUUCAAUUGUCAGAGGUGAAAUUCUUGGAUUUUAUUGAAGACUAACUACUGCGAAAGCAUUUGCCCAAGGAUUGUUUUCUAUUAAUCAAGAACGAAAGUUAGGGGAUCGAAGACGAUCAGAUACCGUCGUAGUCUUAACCAUAAACUAUGCCGACUAGGGAUCGGAUGAUGCUUUAUUUUUUAAUGACUCUA
Molecule: ribosomal RNA, 515 nt
Filed under: uncultured Glomeraceae
Lineage: Eukaryota; Fungi; Glomeromycota; Glomeromycetes; Glomerales; Glomeraceae
Description: SSU rRNA
Rfam family: Eukaryotic small subunit ribosomal RNA
Source: RNAcentral